This 236-nucleotide long non-coding RNA is filed under the name Brassica napus (rape). RNAcentral describes it as "long non-coding RNA (BNAP_LNC024745)". Lineage: Eukaryota; Viridiplantae; Streptophyta; Magnoliopsida; Brassicales; Brassicaceae. The record is from RNAcentral.
CAGACCUUGCGACUCUACCUUGGCUUAGACAAACCGUGACCUUUUCUUACUAGACAAGCCAUAGGCUGAUCCAUAAGGAUUGGUCCUAACCUGUCCCGAAAGACACCGUUUGGAACAUGCACCCUUUGGCCAAUCGUGCCUCUUGGUCCUCGUACCUUUUGAUGUUCGCAACCUUUGGUAACUCGUACCCUUUGGUCCCUGACACCCUUUGGCAGCUCACAACCUUUGGACACUCA